UUCCAGCUCCAAUAGCGUAUAUUAAAGUUGUUGCAGUUAAAAAGCUCGUAGUAGAACCUUGGGCCUAGUUGGCCGGUCCGCCUCACCGCGUGCACUGGUCCGACCGGGUCUUUCCUUCUGGGAAGCCUCAUGCCCUUCACUGGGUGUGUUGGGGGAACCAGGACUUUUUACUUUGAAAAAAUUAGAGUGUUCAAAGCAGGCCUAUGCUCGAAUACAUUAGCAUGGAAUAAUAGAAUAGGACGUGUGGUUCUAUUUUGUUGGUUUCUAGGACCGCCGUAAUGAUUAAUAGGGAUAGUCGGGGGCAUCAGUAUUCAAUUGUCAGAGGUGAAAUUCUUGGAUUUAUUGAAGACUAACUACUGCGAAAGCAUUUGCCAAGGAUGU
Molecule: ribosomal RNA, 381 nt
Filed under: uncultured fungus
Lineage: Eukaryota; Fungi
Description: SSU rRNA
Rfam family: Eukaryotic small subunit ribosomal RNA
Source: RNAcentral